RNAcentral lists this ribosomal RNA (459 nucleotides) under uncultured Allobrachymonas sp. Its description in RNAcentral is "bacterial SSU rRNA". It matches the Rfam family "Bacterial small subunit ribosomal RNA", at positions 919 to 1382 of the family's 1533-position model. Lineage: Bacteria; Pseudomonadati; Pseudomonadota; Betaproteobacteria; Burkholderiales; Comamonadaceae. The record is from RNAcentral.
ACCCGCACAAGCGGUGGAUGAUGUGGUUUAACUCGAUGCAACGCGAAAAACCUUACCCACCUUUGACAUGGCAGGAAUCCCGAAGAGAUUUGGGAGUGCUCGAAAGAGAACCUGCACACAGGUGCUGCAUGGCUGUCGUCAGCUCGUGUCGUGAGAUGUUGGGUUAAGUCCCACAACGAGCGCAACCCUUGCCAUUAGUUGCUACGAAAGGGCACUCUAAUGGGACUGCCGGUGACAAACCGGAGGAAGGUGGGGAUGACGUCAAGUCCUCAUGGCCCUUAUAGGUGGGGCUACACACGUCAUACAAUGGCCGGUACAGAGGGUAGCCAACCCGCGAGGGGGAGCCAAUCCCACAAAGCCGGUCGUAGUCCGGAUCGCAGUCUGCAACUCGACUGCGUGAAGUCGGAAUCGCUAGUAAUCGCGGAUCAGCAUGUCGCGGUGAAUACGUUCCCGGGUCUU